This is a long non-coding RNA of Triticum dicoccoides, 2117 nucleotides long. RefSeq lists it as uncharacterized. Lineage: Eukaryota; Viridiplantae; Streptophyta; Magnoliopsida; Poales; Poaceae. The record is from RefSeq and is a predicted model, not a curated record. The transcript has 6 exons.
GUGGGGGCUCGAUCUCAUACAGGGAUGCCGGCGACGCGGCGACGCAGGCGGUCCACGAUGGGAUCCAGUGUUUGCUGGUCUUCCCAGUGGAUCGAGCCGAGGCGCUCAAGGCGAUCUAGCGGCGCGCGGCCUUCUCAAUGGAUCCAGCCGAAGCGCGCUAGGGAAUCAUCCUAGGGUUUGGAGUUGGUGACCGAGGAGGAGGCGGCACCGGCGAUGGUGCGCAAGCCGUGCACGAGGCCACGGCGACUCCACAAAGUCUGCUCCGCUCUCCCCGACCCUCGACGGCGUGCUCUCCGAUCUGCACUCCCUCCUUCUCUCCACGCUCGCCGCGUCGCUGCGCUCCCCAUCACCAUGGCAACGAUGUGAGUUUCAGUGUGCCCAGCUCAUCCCGUGUUCGAUUGGGCUGGGGCGCUCAUGGCGGCGCUGGAAGGAAUCUCCUAGCCAAAUUUUAGCAUGGAGGCGCCUUCCAGAGCACCUUGCCGCUGGUAGUGAUGUCCGACGGCGUGAGGACAUGGUGAGGCUUCAAUGAAUCAUCCAUGGAUUCGACGAUUUCAAGGCUUCAAUGGAUUAAAUCUGAGAAGAUAAUUCUUGAAAUGGAGGAGGUUCAAUUGGUGUUCCUGGAGAUGACAAGAAAGAUCAUUCAAGGGAAGAGGAUUUGUUGCGAGAGAGUCGGAUACCGGUGUGGAUGAUCCUCUCAAUGGACUCAUUGCAGCAUCACAAAGACACAGGCAACGGUGCUACUGCUGAUGGUAGAGAGGAGAUCAACGGCAAGGGAGGCAAGGGAAAAACUGAGGGUCAAAGAGGGUUUACAACUAGGUAUAAAGCUUCAUGAGGACUCAUCUUCUUGGGAUGGAAGAUGAUCAGUUACUGGUGCUUGUGAAUAUCUGCGGAAGUACAGUAGCCUGUAGCUUUGUAGGCGUUGAACUAAAUACCAAUCAAAGUAGGAGCGAAAGGAAGAUAAUAUAGGUUUUGAUCCGCCAAAAGGUCUAUUUAUUCUCAUUUCAGUUAAGAUUUACCUCUAAAACAUUGCAUGAAUUCCUGCGCAUAUUGGAUACUUUAUUUAUGCACCUUCUUGCAUUUUAAUUCCAUGUAAGUUGUGCACUCUAUUUAGUAAGUUAUUUGUAUUUUGGCUACAAAUGAUUUUAUUGGAUAUAUUGUAGACAUUUUCUGCAGGGACUGUUGCAACUUGCUAGACAUAGGAAAAGAUGGGAGUCAAUCCAAGAUGACAUCAGCAACCAAAGGUUAAUGCGAUUACUCCAUUAAGUGAAGGUUAGUCGUUGCUCCUUGAUCAAGGCUAUUAAUUUAUAGAUGGGUUUUCGAAUAUACUCAUAGUAGUCCAGUGAUGAGUAUAAGUUGAAGCAAGAGUCUAUUAAAUAAAUAAAAAACAUUUUCAUUUGAAAGUAGCCAUAAGAUAGAAAUGGAUAUACAUAUGUUGUAUAAUGAAACGAAGAUGUAUAUAGCAUGUCCAGCUUCAAGAGACUAUUUUCCUCUUUUUGGUUAUACUUACUACUGUCCAUUUCAAGACAAAAGAAAACUACUGCGAAACAACUUUUUUAGACUGUUUUUAUCAUUUUCAAUAGCUCAUGGUUCAAUUAUGUUUAACUUUUUGUCACCUUAAUGUUAUGAAAAUUCCUAUCAACCUAUUGCCAAAACAGAUGGGCGCGGCAACGCGCGCCUCCGAUGAUCUAGUUUCAUAUUAUCAUUGAUCCUUGCGAAGAUCACGGUUCUGCUCUUCCAAUAAAAUAACCUCAUUGCCUCCAUUGGGGGUAUGAGUUGAUUUCCUUCUUCAUGGAUCCGGCCAGUCGUGACCCCUUUAGUUUCCUCCUGCCCGGCAGUGUCCUCAUCUCCAGACGACCACUCAUAAUAGACCUCACUAAAAGGGCGUUUGCCCUCGAGGGUUGCAUGAUUCAAUGCUUGGUACGGAGCCUUCGGGGUGCCAUGGGGAGCUUGACGACCAAGUCCUGUCAGAAAAAUGGCCCGAAAGAAGAACAGAGGAUAAACUUGCGAUACGGUGGUCAAAACAGCGAGGAGUAUAUAUAAUGAUUUUUUUCAUGCAGGACAAGUAAUCUGGAAGGAAACAGAGUCGGUAAAGUCCACAGGGAGUCACGAGCCCACAC